UACGUAGGGGGCUAGCGUUGUCCGGAUUUAUUGGGCGUAAAGAGCGUGUAGGCGGCCAGGUAGGUCCGGUGUGAAAACUCGAGGCUCAACCUCGAGAUGUCAUCGGAAACCAUCUGGCUAGAGUCCGGAAGAGGAGAGUGGAAUUCCUGGUGUAGCGGUGAAAUGCGCAGAUAUCAGGAAGAACACCAAUGGCGAAGGCAGCUCUCUGGGACGGUACUGACGCUGAGGCACGAAAGCCAGGGGAGCAAACGGG
This 253-nucleotide ribosomal RNA is filed under the name uncultured bacterium. RNAcentral's name for it is "partial 16S ribosomal RNA". It matches the Rfam family "Bacterial small subunit ribosomal RNA", at positions 524 to 776 of the family's 1533-position model. The record is from RNAcentral.